GCGGAGGGAUCAUUACACAAUACAAUAUGAAGGCUGUGUGACGUUCAUCUUCGCCAGCUGGAUUAUUUUAUUACCCUUGUCUUUUGCGCACUUGUUGUUUCCUGGGCGGGUUCGCCCGCCACCAGGACCACCAUAUAAACCUUUUUUAUGCAGUUGCAAUCAGCGUCAGUAACAAAAUGUAAAUCAUUUACAACUUUCAACAACGGAUCUCUUGGUUCUGGCAUCGAUGAAGAACGCAGCGAAAUGCGAUACGUAGUGUGAAUUGCAGAAUUCAGUGAAUCAUCGAAUCUUUGAACGCACAUUGCGCCCUUUGGUAUUCCAAAGGGCAUGCCUGUUCGAGCGUCAUUUGUACCCUCAAGCUUUGCUUGGUGUUGGGCGUUUUUUUGUCUUUGGGUCCGCCAAAGACUCGCCUUAAAGUGAUUGGCAGCCGGCCUACUGGUUUCGCAGCGCAGCACAUUUUUGCGCUUGCAAUCAGCAAAAGAGGACGGCAAUCCAUCAAGACUCCUUUCUCACGUUUGACCUCGGAUCAGGUAGGGAUACCCGCUGAACCUUAAGCAUACAA
RNAcentral lists this ribosomal RNA (562 nucleotides) under Curvularia lunata. Its description in RNAcentral is "eukaryotic LSU rRNA". The stretch from base 192 to 345 matches the Rfam family "5.8S ribosomal RNA". The record is from RNAcentral. Lineage: Eukaryota; Fungi; Ascomycota; Dothideomycetes; Pleosporales; Pleosporaceae.